UGAGGUUUGCGUGUGACAUCACUGACGCUCGGUGCCAAGUGUCCUGAAAGAGUGUCUGCUUGUGUCCCUGUGAAAAGACAAAGGGGACGAUUGGAAUCUCUCCAUGUCUUCCAUGGGAACAACAGACAGCCCAUGGACAGCUAAGAGAAUAGAACAGAGGAGUCAGCCCCAAACGAAGCUGAGUUCCGGAGCAUGGGACUUAAUUAUGGUUGGUAGAGGACUAGUGUGAUUCAGCCCAAGGCUGUAGUGACUCUGAUGAGGUCUCUGCAAGGGUUCAGACAUAUGUGGGGCUUUCCUGAAGAGUUAGGGGUUGAACGAUUUCAGCUAGCGUACUAUAAACCAGUGUGGGAUAAAUAUUGGGGUAGUGUUUUGUAUUGUAUUGUUAAAUGUCAGUGCAGAAUUUUAAUUUGCUGUACGUCAGGAACAUAUUUUUUCCAACUGAAAAGUCUGUGAAACAAAUAUGUAUGUAAGACUUAAAAAAGAUAACCGAAAAACAUUAGAGAUUACUUAUGGCGGUAAAGAAAUCAGCGUGCUUUAAAACUUAAAUACUUGCAUUGUGACACCAAAGACUUUGGCCAACGCUUGUGUGAAAUGGUGACACCUAGUGGCAAACAUAAAAGCAAAUGCUGAUGAAUUUCUUUAAAAAUGACUUAUACUUAUACUGUCAUAUGUCCAGCACAAAUAGAAAACAAAUAAUUUUCACUACAGAAGCAGUUUAUUAAACAUUCUUGACAAACUUCUACAUAGUUAUAACUCCAUUGAUGAGUUUAAUCAACAAAUGUACCCAGUAUUGAUAUUAUGUGCAGUUCUGAUGUUUUUCUUUUAAAAGGGGAAACUCAAAUAUAUCAGUACAGUUAGGGGGAGUCAACUGGCCCCAUUGCAACAGGUUAAAACCACCAUAUAAAGUGCAAUAAUGACAAUUCAUGAAACCAGAUAGCCUUUGAACUUAUACAGCACUUAUUUGACAAUUAUUGUUAAGUUACCAUAAUUCUUACCAUUAAAACAUGUACUGGCUAUCGCAAAAUGUACAUGCAUUGGCUAUCACACCAAUCUGACUGAUAUACUGAAACUCCUUACAAAAUGUGAAGAUCUGAAGUAGGGAUUUACACUAACCCCCUUAGAAGGCUUGUGAACUACAACAACAUGUUAUACUGUUGCAGCUGCAGUGUACAUGUAUUUGUAUGUAAAAUACAGUACUGAAACAUCUUGACUAGGCUAAAUACCUAAAGUGAAACAAUGAGUAAAUCCUUUGAAUAUUUAACCCAAUAUAUCUUGUUGAAUAUUGCAUAUUCAUAAAAGCAUACAUACACAAGAAUACGAAUUAAAAUGCUAAACACAAAUCUUUGGGUUAUUCACUGUAAUUCUAUGCCAUUUUCUGCACAUGUAUAUUUUAUAUAUUUCAUAUUUUAGAGUGAAUAUUCAAAUAAGUCCUGAAAACAUGGUUAAAGUAACGCUUUUAAGUAAUUAAACACAUAACUCCAGUUAAACACACCUGAUUCUAGUAGUACUAUACAUAUACAGCAUGUCAUUUCUCUGAACUUCUAGUUCAGUUGGCUAGUAUGUUUGGAAGCGCCAAACUAUCACACAUCAUGCAGCUGACUAGGCUACUUGUUCAAAUAGUCCAAGUAGCAUUUCUCGUUCAUUUAAAAGGUUUCAUCAGUAGUGUGUCUAUACUGGCACAGAAGCCAUAUUAGAGUUCAGCUACUGUUUGACACCUGACUUGAGAUGACGACAUAAGAUACUCCACUGCAUGUCUGUCAGACGUAGCACAAGACCAUGAAGUUGACCACUGGUCAGACAAUUUGCACAACGUCGAUCAUAGAGCUCUCGUUUCUUUCGUCUCAAUAAUACUUCAACAAUAAAUCAAGUUAUUGUCACAUCACACACCAUAAUGUUGUCUCUCUAAUAAUACUUAAAUUUUCACAAUAUUUUUAAGUGACCAUUAUAACAAUAAUCAAGAUAGACUACACUAUCAUCAGACCAUUUUCUCGAUAUUUCAUUCAGUACUGUAAGUAAAUAUUUUGUUGUGGCAAUGUAAACAUAUCCCUCUGACCUUUCAAAAUACAGCUGUGUAAACAAAAUCUGCUAGAUUAAUACAGAGGGCUUCAACUCAAGGGCGUUAACAUGGCAUUAAAGUCUUGAUGUCACCUGUGUAUAGUUAUUCUCAUAAAUAUGAGCUACCAACUACCUAGCAUGCUUUACUUGCAGAGUUGAAAACAACUGUGAGUGAAUGAGGGCAUGCCAGAUAGCCAGCGGCCCACUUUGCCCCCUGGAAUAGAUACACAUGGACUGUGUUGGUAUAUUGACACCAUGCUAUGGACCCUCAAAAUGCUGCCCUGAAUCUGAAGACCACAAACCAUUAGCAUCAGUGUCACAUUUCAUUGACAACCAUAUUUUUUUUAAACUUUUUUUUAACUAAAGCCCACAGUGAAAUUGACACAGCGCUGGUCUGAUUUGGUCUGAUGUCAAGUUCAGGUUGUCUUGAGGAUAUCACAUUUGCACUGAACAUGAUCUAUCAUGAACAGGCAAACACAGUCAAACAUUUCUGUUCUUAUAAAAAUGAAUAAAAAAAAUAAAAUAAAAAAAAAUAACAACAAAGGGUCUUGUUUACUUGGCCAAUGUUUUGCACCAUUAUAAGUGACCGUCUCAAUGUCCUAUACUCGGUGUAUGGUCCCUACUAUUUGUCAACUUGUCUCAUAUGCCCUUUAUGGGAGCUGCCCUCUAAAAUCACAAAAUGUUGUGUUGACAUUAGGGUGGACAACUACCAAAAGCAAAUUCCCAUCGAUAUGCAGUAACAGUAACACUAUGAUGCUGUCCAGGAACACAGAAAGCAAAUUCCCAUUGAUAUGCCAUAACAGUAACACUAUGAUGCUGUCCAGGGACACAGAAAGCAAAUUUCCGUCGAUAUGCCGUAACAGUAACACUAUGAUGCUGUCCAGGGACACAGAAAGCAAAUUCCCAUUGAUAUGCCAUAACAGUAACACUAUGAUGCUGUCCAGGGACACAGAAAGCAAAUUUCCGUCGAUAUGCCGUAACAGUAACACUAUGAUGCUGUCCAGGGACACAGAAAGCAAAUUUCCGUCGAUAUGCCGUAACAGUAACACUAUGAUGCUGUCCAGGGACACAGAAAGCUAAUUUCCGUCGAUAUGCCAUAACAAUAACACAAUUAUGCUGUCCAGGGAAACAGAAAGGGUGAAAUGAGAUGACAGUGUUACCUCGUACUUACUCUGUCAAACUAAAACACAAGUAAUGAAAAGAACUCCUAUCUCUUUGAUUCAAUGGAUGAAAUGAAACAUGACUUCUGAUCUCUAUGAAAAAAAAGAAUCAGAUAAAAGCAAUGUUUGUACAUUUACAUACUUAUAUAGUUGCUUGUGUUAGAUUGGUAGUGCGUGACUUAAGAGAUCCUGUAUUUUAACCUUCCAGAAUCAUUGAGACAAAUAUAGAAAUAGGUUACAAGGUUGGUAAAUUAACUCCAUAAUUAGGCAUAAUUACUUGAAUUGAAUUAUUUUCUUGUUGUCCAAUAAAAUCUCAAGAUAAGCAGAAUCAGUAAUCCUGACUUUAAGCGUUGAUAUAUUCUUGGAAAAAGGCACAAGGCAAAAUAAUAAUCCAUCCCUAUUAUUAGGUCUCAUUAUAAGAUAUUACUAUAUAAAAAAAGUUAUAUAAAAUAUUAAUAUAAUUAUGCAAUAUUUGUACUUCUUCCUUACAUGUGCGACUUCACAAUUAAAAAAUAUGUUAAAAGACGUGUCUUUUUCUUAAUCUGUAGAGCCAAACAGCUGAAGUGUUUAUUUAAACAUAAGAUGACAUCCUAACAAGCUGAACAUCCACCAACGUCCAUUACUUGUUGAAAAAAAAGAACAAAAAUGUUGUUAAAUAUAACUUCAAGUCAAUUGAAAGGUGGCCUUUUUAAAAAAGAAAAAAAGGACAACAACAAAGAAAACCUCAUUCUGACGGCUAAUAUAAUGGAAUGCUUUGAAUCAGCAUCCUGUCAAAAUGAGAAGCAUUUAGAUGUAGAAAUAAGACUUUUUCAUCUGUGUAGAGACACAGACGUACUGUUAGAUAUGCCCACAAAGGGGUUGUCAGGUAGUAGUAAUGCAGUGGUCGGUACCUGCGAUAGCUCUUUCAGGUUAAUAACAGCCCGCCCUUCCUGGUCUGGUCGGGAAACAGAGCAGAGGAAACGUACGACAUGGAGGGGCUCAGAGAAAACUCAGCCUUGUUCUUUUGCUGGUCGCUCGGGUCCCUUACCUCCAUGUCUGUAACUUUGUUGGUGUGAAAUUACUUAAACAUUUUAUAAUGCAACAGUGCACCGCACAAACUGUGAAUUUUUUUUUUUCAUCUACAACUUCGAAUUGAAACUAUUUAGCCAUUGUCAAGACAAACAUAGAUUAAAAUAAGACAAGGCUGAAGUGUUUAUUUAAACAUAAGAUGACAUCCUAACCUUUCAUGAACUGUACUGUAACAACUAAAUGUAAGCUAAACCUUUACUGAUAUACUAACAGAGAAAUGUUUAAGGUUUUUUCAACACCUGGGGAAAAGAUGGUAUCUCCUGCUUCUGUGGUCUGUUAAAAGCAUAUCGAGGUGUACGGACGGUCACCACCAUUUGUCAUUUUCAGUCCUUGAGUUUCAUUAAAGGACACCAGCUGAUGAAUGAACCGCGUCGAAGCAGUGGUCACUAUCGCACAGCCCAGUGAUAAAGGUAAUGUUGUGACUCGAUGUGCCACCAAGCUUCUUCCAUAGGGCUCAGGCUUUUCAAGAUCAUCUGUGGAUGGCAGGGUCUCAGAUUUGUGGCGGCGAGAACGGGAAGAACGGGUAGUGCGUGUCGUCUUCGUCUACAAAGAAGCACUGGAAGUAGGGGAUAUCCUCUGGAAUUGGACGAAAAUUAGAGAAAAGUAUCACACAAAGAUCUACUUAUUUUCAACCUGCUUUGAGCUUUAACUAAGGAAAUCAAAUGAGCGACAUUUCUAGGCGUCUCUUACCCUCUUCCUCUACACCAAGGCCGUCUGGUUUGGGUGGUUCUAUGGAUAAAUAAAUAGGUAAUGUCAGUGACAAGACCUUGAAUUGACAACAUGCAUCACGAGUGACCAUUACAAUAGAACUAGUGUAUAUAUAUUACAUUGCAUUACAUUCAGUCAUUUAGCAGUAAUUUUUUGUCCAAAGCGACGUACAAGGGAGAGAACAAUCAAGCUGCAAACCAUUAUUCAUGCAAAUGAGACCACAGCAUUCACUUAGAGAGGGAAAGAAAACCUAAUCUUACCUUCCUUUGUAGGUGCUGGUACAACAGAUUCAACUGGUGCCACGGGCUCUGUAGUGCAAUAUCAUACCCAUGUUAGAAUUCCCCAAGUUUUUAUUUUAGUGGAAGUACUGUGGCAGUGUAACAGAAGUAGUACUAGUAUUAAAACAUAUUAAUGUAUUACAAACAUGAUAACAAACAGCAUGAGAUACCUUUCUUUACAGGUUUGGCCUUCUUUGGGAUUUCAGGCUCUGAAACAGAGAGGAAAGUGACACUACAGUCAGAAUGGGAAUGGGGUUGCCCAUAAUUUUAUCAGUAUAUUAGCAUAUGCCAUAUACCUUCUGUAACUGGUGCGAGCCUUGGCCUCUCUUUCAGUACCACUAGUUCUAUAUCAAGACACAAAGAUUUGUCAAGUGAAGCUUGUGGAAUCAGAGAGGGAGCUCAGUAACCAAGUUAGGACAUUUAUCGUACAUAUUUAUCUAUGUUAGAAUAUUUCUAAAGAUUUGUUUGCUAUAUGGGAAGCGACACAGUUUGAAUAAAAAGCGUAUUGCAGAUUAUGUAGUUUUGAUCUAGUUUCUAUCGUAAGCAUUAAUAGCCACCUCUUUGACAUGCAAAUGCUUACAAAAUAGUAUAUUUAUACUAAAAAUAGUGUGUUUAGUAUGCUAGUUCUAAUAUCCUGCACCUCCCGUUGUGAUCACUGCGACUUGUAGUCUGUUUCAUUUAGCCUUGAUUUUAGAUUCAAGCUCAUGCAGUUGUUUGACAUUAGUUCAAACUCUCUCUCUCUCUCUCUCCCUCCCUCUCUCUCUACCUACCUCCCUCCCUCUCCCUCCCCCCUCUCUCUCCACACACACACACACUCUCUCUCCCCCUCCCUCCCUCUCUCUCUCUCUCUCUCUCUCUCUCUCUCACACCCACAUACACACACACAGUAGCGUAAGCACAAGAUGCCAAGCUCUUUGCUACUACCAGUCACUUUACUGCCACUGCUAAAGCCACUGCUGAUGCCUCUCAUUAUGAACUAGCAUCUGCUCUUGCGGUGAGCGAUGUGACAGGACAAGGCAGGAGAUGAGUGACUACAAUGAUGCUCCAGAUCAGUGUUGUUUGCAAAAGCCGAUGGCUGAAUUGCGACAAAACAACAUGGCAAUAUUGAUGAGAAACAACAGGGAUUUAGGCACAUCUUGUCACAAUCUUGUAACUAGAAUUCAUUGUAUCUAUGCAAAAUACCUUUUUUGGCUGGUUUAGCUUUCCCCUUUAUAACUUUGUGUUCUAAGUAAAACAUAAAAAAAAAAUCUUUCUUUCCCAGAGUUGCUUUUGUAAUAUUUGAGAGAGAAUCAAAUUCUAUUCAGAAAUAAACCAGAUGCAAAAAAACUUCAGCAACCGAAAUAACACUCCUUUACAUGUUUUGUAUGGAAUUACUUUUGCAAUAUUGACAUCACUCUUGUGCAUCAUAAUAUGUGGUGUUUGAGAUGGGGGAUGGAAACAAAACAGAAAAGUGGCUGUGUGGAUGCACCUGUAGUCACCGGUGGAGUUGUUUAUACCUACUUCACUCUCGCAUAGUCAUCUCUAAUGUGGGGGAACUGGCGGUUUUCAUCAGUAAAUUAAGUAAAUGUGUAGAUUUGCUUGAACCAAAAGGGAUAUGUUGUUUCUAUCCCGUCUUGCCACCAUGUGCAUGCGGGGGUUUAAUCUAGGGGAUGAAUAUCUGCAAAAUAAUUUGGUCAGAAUCCCACUGAUAUGUAAUUUAGACAGAAAAAACAACAACAUUUAUUUGGUUACCUUUCUUUGUUGGUUCAGGCUUAGCUUUUUCCUUCGGAGCCUCGGGUUC
This is a long non-coding RNA of Clupea harengus (Atlantic herring), 7049 nucleotides long. NCBI's taxonomy places the organism in Eukaryota, Metazoa, Chordata, Actinopteri, Clupeiformes, Clupeidae. The record is from Ensembl.